GUGGGGAAUCUUCCGCAAUGGACGAAAGUCUGACGGAGCAACGCCGCGUGAACGAUGACGGCCUUCGGGUCGUAAAGCUCUGUCAUCAGGGACGAACGGCCGGUGGAGUGGAAAGCCACCGGAUUGACGGUACCUGAGAAGGAAGCCACGGCUAACUACGUGCCAGCAGCCGCGGUAAUACGUAGGUGGCAAGCGUUGUCCGGAAUUAUUUGGCGUAAAGCGCGCGCAGGUGGGAUCUUAAGUCCAUUUUUAAAGUUCGGAGCUCAACUCCGUGAUGGGAUGGAAACUGGGAUUCUUGAGUACCGGAGAGGAAAGCGGAAUUCCCCGUGUAGCGGUGAAAUGCGUAGAUAUGGGGAGGAACACCAGUGGCGAAGGCGGCUUUCUGGACGGUGUCUGACACUGAGGCGCGAAAGCCAGGGGAGCGAACGGGAUUAGAUACCCGUGUAGUCC
This 450-nucleotide ribosomal RNA is filed under the name uncultured bacterium. RNAcentral describes it as "partial 16S ribosomal RNA". It matches the Rfam family "Bacterial small subunit ribosomal RNA", at positions 354 to 796 of the family's 1533-position model. The record is from RNAcentral.